RNAcentral lists this ribosomal RNA (481 nucleotides) under Chryseomicrobium sp. SD1-18. Its description in RNAcentral is "partial 16S ribosomal RNA". It matches the Rfam family "Bacterial small subunit ribosomal RNA", at positions 56 to 518 of the family's 1533-position model. The record is from RNAcentral. Lineage: Bacteria; Bacillati; Bacillota; Bacilli; Caryophanales; Caryophanaceae.
UGCAGUCGAGCGGAUGACGAAGGAGCUUGCUCCUUCUGAUUCAGCGGCGGACGGGUGAGUAACACGUGGGCAACCUGCCCUGUAGAUUGGGAUAACUCCGGGAAACCGGGGCUAAUACCGAAUAAUCCUUCGGACCUCAUGGUCCGAUGUUGAAAGACGGUUUCUCCUGGCCCUUCCGGGAUGGCCCCCCGGGCCAUUACUUGGUUGGGAAGGUACCGGUCCCCCAAGGGACCAAUGCGUACCCAACCUGAAAGGGGAACCGGCACCCCGGGAAUGGAACCCCGGCCCGAAUCCCUCCGGAAGGCACCAUAAGGAAUCCUUCCCCAUGGAACAAAGGCCGAAUGAACCACCCCCCCGUGAUGAAAAAAGGUCCCCGAACCUUAAAAUUCGGUGGGGAGGAAAAACCAGUUCCGGAAUUACCGGCCGGUACUUGGCCGGUACCCCAUAAAAAAGCCCCGGUUACUUACUUGCCACCACCGGG